UCGUGUUUGAUAUCAGAGCCAACCGUUCCCAUAUGUUUGAUAUAUGUUCAUUAGCCAUUUCAUGUUUCAUUAAUCGCCACAUGGCUCUCUGUCUCAGAUGUGUGAUCAUUAUGCCUGUCUCAUCCUGUCAUGUCAUUCUCUGUGCAUUUAGUUUCUUUGGUUUCCCCACCUCUCAUUCUCACUGACAGUUAGUCAGCGUCCCAAAUGGAACCCUAUUCCCUUUAUAGUGCACUAUGUUUGACUAGAGCCCAUAGGGAAUAGGAUGCAAUUUGGGACGCACAAUGUGUGUGUCACAUGUGGAGUUACCGGUAAUUUACCCAAGUUACUGUAAUCUUCUGUGAUUUUGGUAAGUAACAGGUAAUCUAUGGUAACUUUGGUAAUUUAUACUUGAGUCAUUUAAAAAAGAUUUAUUAAUAUGUAGUAUUUUUUUUUUAUAUCUGUGUCCAUAUUGUCCAUGAGUUUCUAGUGGAUGGACCAUAUGGUACAAGAGAAAAUUGCCCAAUUAAUGAAAAAAGCAUCUAAUCAACUAUGGCAUUAUUUUCAAUUAACUCUGCAACUCUUCCAACGGUUUACUUUUUUCACCAGUUUGCCGCCACAACAUUAAAUAACAACAAAGACAUAUUGACAAAUAAAUACAUAAAGGAUAUUUCAUGUUGAAAGUCAUAUUAAACACCAGUGGUCUUCACUGAGAUGAUGGUUUAUACUUAGGAUCUAGUUUUACUUUGUCAUUUAUUUUGUAUUUUAAAAUCUUAUUUGAUUAUUUUAUACAUUUUUAUCUGUGAUAGGGACAGAGAUAAUGACAGACACCUGUGAUAACCUGAAGUACCCAAAAGAACUACAUAAAACUAUUGUUGAAACUUCAAAAGUUUCCAGUAAGAUACUCUCCCUUUUGCAACCCUAGUCACAGGGAAGCUUGCCAAGCAGCUUUUAUAGCAGGGCCUGCACUUUCUGUUGAGUGACAAGUAUCUGUCUACUGGAGUAAUGACGAGAGUAUUUGGCAGGGAUACAGCCAGGGUAGUUUGGCUGGGUGUUUGUCUGCCUAUACCUUACCAGUGUUUCAGUGUCAGAAUUGUGUCAGUGGCUAUGUUGAACAUGACUUGUAUAUAAUUAAGGGCUUGUUCUUUCUCUCUAACACCAGACCCACCAAGGGAGGCCUAGACACUGAGAGAUGCCAACGGACACACACACCAGCAACUGACGAGGAGAAACACAUGCAUGGAUGACUAUGGGAGCCCCACUCUAAUGCAAUGGAGACCAAGCAAAAACACACAUAUGCGCGUGCGCACACACACAUACACACACACACACUUCCCGCAGUCGACUCCCCUUGCCUGUCAAGUGAAUGUUAUCUGUUGAUUCUCAACAGUACCGACAAUGACUCACUGGAAAACACACACAGAUGUGUUAUUUCUGAAGCACCAUAUAACCAAAUAGUAGUAAUGAGAAAAAGGCCUGUUUCAGGCGAGACACUCCAGGCCGCGUGUACGUGGCCUCUCCCAUUCAGCAUGUUCAGAGCGAGAAUGAGGCACGACCACAACAAUGAGGACUUGAAAUGUUUCCGUUCGUGUCUGUGUGUGUGUUGCUCCUUGUGACUAGAAUAAACAGCAAAAAGGACAGAAAAAGAGACCCCUUGCUGGACUGAUUCCAAUUGAAUGGACUUGGCCCCUGGGAACUACUGUGUGAAAAUUCAGAAGGAAAAAAGCCCCUCUGCGACUUGCUUUAUUUAAUAUUUCCAUGGAAGUAUUUAUGUGGUGACUUUCUGUUUACAGAUGCUUCUCUUGACACCACUCAAUUAAGGGGAUUCGCCUCGGCGCCUGGGCUUCAGGAGCAAUGCUCAACUAACUAUGAAGGAGACCCCACAAAUGGAUGGGCUGCUUAUUAAUUAAGUGCUUUUAUGCGACUUAAAUGACUCGGAAAAUAAUAACGCCCAUGCGUGGAGGAGGUCAGCACAAAGAGGCUGCUGAGCUGCCACGUUUUCCCCGACUAAGCAAAGCAAAACAAUUUCCUCUGGGACUACGAUGCUCGUUUGUGUGGGGGAUUAGCACAUUAAAAGGGAUCUCUAUUGGAAAGAAUCUUAGUUUUCUUUUGAACAAAAUGUAUAUUUAAUGUUUUUAUUUUUCUGUUACGUGCUAAAUAUGUUGGACUGCUAUUGCAACAUGUGUCUUUGUGACUCAGGGAGGCUGUUUUAUACUAAAAUAUAUGUUCCAUUAAAAUACAGAAAAGAGGAUAAAUAUGGUUUUUAAAGAUUAGGGGUCUCCAUUGAACAUACUUUUUCCAGGACUAGGCCGCCCCCAUAUGUUUUGUUGAUGAUAAUAAAGUAUUUUGAUUUACAGGAAAAUACUGUAUGUCAGUGUAUUACAUGGCAUUCAUGUUGAUAUAAUGUUACCUACCUAAUGGCAUCAUCUUAACUGCUUCUGAAAUAAUCUCCAGGCAUUCUGAUCUUCAGCUGUUACAAAUAUUCCCAGAAUAUUGUAUUUAAUUAACAGUUUUUGAGUUGAAGAAUCUGCACUGUAAAAAUGUCCCUUCAUAAUUACUGCACAAUUAUUUGCAAGUUGCCAGGUUAAUACUGUAAUAUAGCUUUUACAGCAGAGAUUUUCCUUCCUGUAAAACAUGUUACAGUAUUCCUGCUGUAAAUGUGGGCACCUGAUUCCAUGGCAGAAUUUAGUGGAUGUGUCAUGGUUGAUUGAUAGAGUGAAUAUGCCCACUGAAUCUCAAGCCAUAUCUUAAAGCAAUAACAAUAAGGAAGAUAUGUUGACCUCUGCAUUCAGGACUACGAGUAGGAGAAAGUCCUUUCCAGAAAUUAGUAGCUGCGUUGAACUUUUGAAUCCUGUUUUGUAUGUGCUGACACUUGGUGAGUGAGAAAGGUUGAAUUGAAUAAAAUACUGUUAUGUUUUUGUGAGUAUCCCUUUAGGGAGUUGUUGACUUUCCACAUUAGUGAAAUGUAUGUCUGUUUCCUCAGUUUGUUAUGGAGGAAUUAGGAGUUUCUGGCUUGCUGUUCUAUCAGUCCCUCAGCACAGCUCCCACUUUGGCUCCACCCAGCGCUCCUGACCCAGACGAGCCAGUGCUGCUCAUCGUGUGUGUAACCCUUGCUGUGGUUUUGGUGGUGGUUUUUCUGGGGAUCUACUAUGGCUUCCAACGCCACAGUGCUAAGAAAAACAGAACUGACGUCACCAGGAGACAUGGGUCCGUGAGGACGAGUCCUGAAGGACUGGCUGGAACAUAGACGUGUUUGUCUGCACAGGAUGUGCAUCUGCAUGCAAAUGUAUUGGCUGAAGCCCAGUAGCAACGUAUUCCAAAUGGCACCCUAUUCCCUAUUUAGUGAAACUAUUUUGACCAGAGCCCUAUGAGUCCUGGUCAAAAUGAGUGUACUAUAAAGGGAAUAGGGUGCCAUUUCUAACACAGCCAUAAUUUCAACAGAGUCUGGAGUUAAGUAUAACAUCAGUCUGUCUGCAAUAAACAUUUUGAGCAGCAAAAUCAGACAGGAGUUUUUAUAUAUUGUAACUCCACUAGGGGGAGCCAAACAUGCAAGAGAGACUUCAGGGGCCUCAUCGAUGAGAGCAAAUGUACUUAUUUGUAUUUAUUUUUUUUGCCUCCAAGGUCUUUUCUUUUAGGUAGGAUUUUACGACACUGCUUGUUCAAUAUCACAAAAUUAAAACAAUAGACUUGCGCCAUCGGCAAGGAAUCCCUUGGCUGCAAUUCAAUAAAUAUACUGAACACAGAUAAGACUGUGUUGAAUAGCAACAAGGAAACCCACAGUCAUGUUUAGCUCGUCUAAAAAAAUGAUCACAGUCAGAUAUUGAUGUAAACCACAACAGAGAGAACAGGAACCCAAGACAGAGCAUGCUUGGACUAUUUCCUGGCUACAGACAACGUCAACAUCCUACAUUUUCUCUUGCGUUGAUGCACAGAUGGUUAUUUUUAUAAUGCCAGACAUACUGUAGCAGAAGAGCAUCCACUGAAAUAUGAACAUGAAUGGUCAACAAAAAAUAAUAAAAUAGGCUUGUUUUCAAUAGAUACUUUCCUGCUGUAUUUUUGCUGAAUUUUACAUCUUUUAUUUUUGCGAUCCAUUUGUGACCGUA
Molecule: long non-coding RNA, 4079 nt
Organism: Oncorhynchus gorbuscha (pink salmon)
Lineage: Eukaryota; Metazoa; Chordata; Actinopteri; Salmoniformes; Salmonidae
Exons: 4
Source: RefSeq, a predicted model, not a curated record